This 512-nucleotide long non-coding RNA is filed under the name Nicotiana benthamiana. Its description in RNAcentral is "long non-coding RNA (NBEN_LNC010189)". The record is from RNAcentral. Lineage: Eukaryota; Viridiplantae; Streptophyta; Magnoliopsida; Solanales; Solanaceae.
AUAAACUAAAGGAAGAAAUGCGGUGCUGCGAACGCUGGCAGUCACCUUGCUAAACUUUGAUAACUUAGCCUCCGAUCAGCUCAAAACCUGCUACCAGGUGAACAAAUACUUGCAUAUGCACACGGGGUGUAGGGAGUAAAGUGAGUACUCCAACUCAGUGAGUAAUAAAUGUAAAUAAUAACUGAGCAGUAAGAAAUCACGUAAAAUAGACCAUCAUGAUGUAUAGAGCAGUGUAAAACCCUUUGAGAAAAAAAAGCAGUGAAGAAAUCUUAGUUUAGUUUAAACCUCUUUUGAAAAUGACGUUUUUUAAAGGUUACGAAAAUGAAUGCAAAAUAAAUAGUGCUGAUAAGCAUAGAAAUCCGCCCUUGGGGCAAAACGCUCAAUUAACAAACAAUGCCAGGCAAUCAGGUAGAUAUCACAUGAAGUGGCACAAACAACAGAUAAUGACAGACAAAUGAAAUAAAGUAAACACAUAGAACAGUACCACUGCCACUGCGGCGUGCAACCCGAUC